This 1650-nucleotide long non-coding RNA is filed under the name Olea europaea subsp. europaea. Lineage: Eukaryota; Viridiplantae; Streptophyta; Magnoliopsida; Lamiales; Oleaceae. The record is from RNAcentral.
GAAGACAUUUUGGAAUUUUUUUUUUUUUGAUCAGAUUGAUUCAUUAAUGAUAAUUUAGUGAAUUUUCAUCUUCAUUAUAUGAACCAUCUAGAAGAAACAAGCUAUCCAAAUUUAAAGCUCAAAUAAUAGAAGUGAAAGGGAAAAUGAUGGACAAUAUUAAGAAAGUACAACAAAAGGCAUCAAAGCCCAAGCAUGAGAAGCCGAUACAGGAGUCAUGAAAGAGGCCUUCCUACAAGCCUUUUGGUCCGCAAACUUGGGCGUGAUUGCAAGUCCAUUUUAAUGUUUCUUAAAUGAAAAUUCAAUUGCCAUUAUUUCUUGUAGUUGUUCAACCUGCUUCAAGCUACUUUCUUGUUAUUGAAAUUAGUUUAAAAGCAUUGAUAUCUUCUUCCCAAUUUUUGAUUUCACUAUCACGCCUUGAAGAUAUAUCUUCCAUAGUAUAAACAUUUUUGUUUACAAAAUGUGUUUCUAAAUACUAAAGAUUAGUAAGUGCCUAAAAUUUAGGUGAAAAUUUAUUAAACUUUUAGAAUAGUUUCAAUAAUAUUUGACACGCUAACAUUACCUUAAAAAUAAUGCGGCCCAUGCAAUGCACGGGCAUAAGACUAGUAAAACAGGAAAGUUUCGAUUCCCUCUUAAUUUUCUUUGGCCUCCCACCAAAACAAGUUCCCUAAUUUUGGAGAGCUCUUCCUCUUCCUCUUCCUCAACCAAAACCCUUCUCUCUCACAAAUUGCAAAAUCAUUCUAUCACCCUCUCCAAAUAUCCAACCGUCGCUUAUCUCAAUAUCACUAGCGGUUCAUAAAUUUGUCUCGUUUUCUUUCUCGUCGUACAUAUUCUUGGUGAAGCUUUUUCCCCAUAUCUUCCCCUUGUUUUUCCCUUUUCUUUUCCUCUCUUUUCUUCCACAAUUACUAUUUAUAGCUAGCUAUGUCAUGGGCUUUUUUUAUUGUGUUUGAUUUCGUUUUCUAUUUUGGGUUUUUUGGAUUCUUGAUUUCUCUAUUUGUGCAUAUCUACAUGGGUUUGUGAAAUAAGGAAAUAGAAAUUUUAAUUGUUGAUAAUGGAAGUGAUAGAGUGGCAUUCGAAGGUAGCAGUAAGUGAAAGGUAGAUUUUUUCCCAGGCAUCUUACGUGUGUACUAUUUCCUUAUUCUUUAUUUAUUUCUUAAGUUCAUGACAUUCUUUCUUCGUUCUGCAUCGUUGGAAUUUGUAGGAUCAUUAGAGCUUUCUUGGUGGAAGAGCAAAAGAUUGUGAAGAAGGUUUUGAAGAUUUAGAAGGCCAAGGAAAAGCUAUCUGCUAAGAGCUGAAGAAUCAGUCAUAUGCCAAUAUAGUUAUGAAUACUAUUAAUCAAGGAUGAUUGGAAUUGUAUUAUGAGGCUUCCAUGCUUAAAUUAUGUUUGUUUCUUAGAUUUUGUCAAAUGACUGCGUUCUUCUGUUUGUUGAAAAUUCUCAUAUUUGAUUUUGGUUUCCCUGCCUUUUCAUAACAUCUUAAACUUCAUUUGGAUUUACUCGUGUAAUCCUUGAUUUUUUUUCCUUAACUGAGUUUGAGUUAUCAUUAAUUAGCUACUUCUUCUGGUGAGUUUCAAUGGUAGCUUGAUGUUCAAAUUGAUUGUUUCAGUUUCAUUGUUAGCUUCGAAUGCCAAGACCGGUGUAAUUAGGCCGUAUA